GUAGGUGGCAAGCGUUGUCCGGAAUUAUUGGGCGUAAAGCGCGCGCAGGCGGUUCUUUAAGUCUGAUGUGAAAGCCCACGGCUCAACCGUGGAGGGUCAUUGGAAACUGGAGAACUUGAGUACAGAAGAGGAAAGCGGAAUUCCACGUGUAGCGGUGAAAUGCGUAGAGAUGUGGAGGAACACCAGUGGCGAAGGCGGCUUUCUGGUCUGUAACUGACGCUGAGGCGCGAAAGCGUGGGGGAGCAAACAGGAUUAGAUACCCUGGUAGUCCACGCCGUAAACGAUGAGUGCUAAGUGUUAGGGGGUUUCCGCCCCUUAGUGCUGCAGCUAACGCAUUAAGCACUCCGCCCCGGGAGUACGGCCGCAAGGCUG
This 372-nucleotide ribosomal RNA is filed under the name uncultured organism. Its description in RNAcentral is "partial 16S ribosomal RNA". It matches the Rfam family "Bacterial small subunit ribosomal RNA", at positions 527 to 896 of the family's 1533-position model. The record is from RNAcentral.